UACAGAGGUCCCAAGCGUUAAUCGGAAUUACUGGGCGUAAAGCGUGCGCAGGCGGUUUUGUAAGCCAGAUGUGAAAGCCCCGGGCUUAACCUGGGAAUGGCAUUUGGGACUGCAAGGCUGGAGUACGGCAGAGGGAGGUGGAAUUCCACGUGUAGCAGUGAAAUGCGUAGAGAUGUGGAGGAACACCGAUGGCGAAGGCAGCCUCCUGGGCUAGUACUGACGCUCAUGCACGAAAGCGUGGGGAGCAAACAGG
RNAcentral lists this ribosomal RNA (253 nucleotides) under uncultured bacterium. Its description in RNAcentral is "partial 16S ribosomal RNA". It matches the Rfam family "Bacterial small subunit ribosomal RNA", at positions 524 to 776 of the family's 1533-position model. The record is from RNAcentral.